RNAcentral lists this ribosomal RNA (754 nucleotides) under uncultured Microgenomates group bacterium. RNAcentral describes it as "bacterial SSU rRNA". It matches the Rfam family "Bacterial small subunit ribosomal RNA", at positions 578 to 1344 of the family's 1533-position model. The record is from RNAcentral.
GUUUAUUAAGUUGGGGGUGAAAUCUCCGGGCUCAACCCGGAGCUCGUUCUCAAAACUGGUAGACUUGAGUAAGGUAGAGGCUGACGGAAUUCUGCAAGUAGGGGUAAAAUCCGUUGAUCUGCAGAGGAACACCAAAAGCGAAGGCAGUCAGCUGGGCCUUUACUGACGCUGAGGGACGAAAGCGUGGGUAGCGAACGGGAUUAGAUACCCCGGUAGUCCACGCCGUAAAUGAUGGAUACUGGACAUUGGUACUCGAUCGUAUCAGUGUCUCAAGCUAACGCAUUAAGUAUCCCGCCUGGGGAGUACGGUCGCAAGAUUAAAACUCAAAGGAAUAGACGGGGACCCACACAAGCGGUGGAGCAUGUGGUUUAAUUCGACAAUAAGCGAGGAACCUUACCAGGGCUUGACAUCCCGAGAAUUCUUUAGAAAUAGAGAAGUGCCUUUAUGGAACUCGGUGACAGGUGCUGCAUGGUUGUCGUCAGCUCGUGCCUUGAGGUGUUCGGUUAAGUCCGUAAACGAGCGCAACCCUAGUCCUAUGUUGUAUAUUUCAUAGGAGACUGCCUUGUCCAACGAGGAGGAAGGUUAGGAUGACGUCAAAUCAGCAUGGCCCUUAUGUCCUGGGCGACACACGUGCUACAAUGGUCGGUACAAUGGGUAGCCAACCCGCGAGGGGGAGCCAAUCCCAUCAAAGCCGGUCCAAGUUCGGAUUGGAGGCUGCAACUCGCCUCCAUGAAGUUGGAAUCGCUAGUAAUCG